CUACUCUCGGCUUGCCGUGGUGCUCGGGAAGCCGGUGGGAAACCGGCGCGGCCCUCGCCACUGUGAGCGGAUAGUUGCUCGCCCUCGUCCGUACCGGUCCGCCGGUGUGGAGGCCACUGGAUCUCAUCCGGGAAGGUCGGCGCAGCAGCGGUGACCCGUCAGCCAGGAGACCGGCCACGGCACGUGAGGUCCA
Rhodococcus pyridinivorans SB3094 is the source of this 193-nucleotide non-coding RNA. The record is from Rfam. NCBI's taxonomy places the organism in Bacteria, Bacillati, Actinomycetota, Actinomycetes, Mycobacteriales, Nocardiaceae.